Molecule: long non-coding RNA, 664 nt
Organism: Salmo trutta (river trout)
Lineage: Eukaryota; Metazoa; Chordata; Actinopteri; Salmoniformes; Salmonidae
Source: Ensembl
AAAUAUGUUUCCUUUCUUUUCUUUUCUCUAGCCAAUGGAGAGUGAUUCAGCAUGGCAUGAAAAAUAACCUCACAUUCGAGCAGCUCUCCAUGCUGUGUCUGAAGAUUGUUAAGGUCGUGACCCAGACAGCCCUCCGCAUUCUCCUACCAGCGCUAGCUCGUAUCAUGGGUGUGGACCUGAGGAGUGGGGCAGCCUCCCCAGAAUCCCAGUGCUCUCUGACAGGGUCUGAGGAUUCCUUAGGCAGUCUGGAUGAGCGAGAGAAAAGGCUGCUGAUCAAUGAGAUGAACUACUGGACUAAGGAGAGGAGGAGGAAUGGCAGUGCAGGGUGCCGCCAAAAAUCCACUCGCAGAACCUCAUCACCAUGCUGGUCGCCUAAGAGCGUUCCAAGAGAGGAAACAAAAAGGACUGCCAUUCAGUCCAGGAACAGACUGAGAUUCCCUCUACUGAUGGACAUUGCAUAGCUCCACACAUUGAGGCUCAUGGUGCUGAAUCUCCAGUUGGAGAGGUUUCUCCCUCCAUAUCUCAGCCUAUCAAAAAACGAUCCUUGAUUGUCAGGGUCUUUUCAGCAAUGAUGAAGCCAUUCAGGCGCUUCACCAAGAAGAACCUGUAACCUGUUACGCUGCAUGAAGAACUACUUUUGUAACAGCAAGACUUUUGACAAGAG